AGUGAACGUUGGUGGCGUGGAUUAGGCAUGCAAGUCGAGCGAGAACCGUAGCAAUACGGGGACAGCGGCGAAAGGGACAGUAAUGUGUAGGUACCUACCUCCGGGUUCGGGAUAGCUGCGGGAAACUGCAGGUAAUACCGAAUAACGUCUCCGGACCAAAGGUGUGAUUCCACCUGGAGAGGGGCCUGCAUCCUAUUAGCUUGUUGGCGAGGUAACGGCCCACCAAGGCGACGAUGGGUAGCGGGUGUGAGAGCACGACCCGCGUCAUUGGGACUGAGACACUGCCCAGACACCUACGGGUGGCUGCAGUCGAGGAUCUUCGGCAAUGGGCGCAAGCCUGACCGAGCGACGCCGCGUGCGGGAUGAAGGCCUUCGGGUUGUAAACCGCUGUCGUAGAGGAGGAAGUGCAGGGGGGUUCUCCCCUCUGUUUGACCUAUUCUAGGAGGAAGGACGGGCUAAGUUCGUGCCAGCAGCCGCGGUAA
This 482-nucleotide ribosomal RNA is filed under the name uncultured bacterium. RNAcentral describes it as "partial 16S ribosomal RNA". It matches the Rfam family "Bacterial small subunit ribosomal RNA", at positions 28 to 523 of the family's 1533-position model. The record is from RNAcentral.